Long non-coding RNA from Esox lucius (northern pike), 729 nucleotides. The record is from Ensembl. NCBI's taxonomy places the organism in Eukaryota, Metazoa, Chordata, Actinopteri, Esociformes, Esocidae.
CUCCUCUCUUCCUACCGUUCUUCAGCUCUGUCUCUGUUUACCAUGUUUCAAAAGGUAGACAUUUCUACUAGCAGCGGCCGGAGGUUGACGGCACGCUGAAACAAACCGGCCAGUGGGGGGACAGGAGUGACAGUCAUUUACAUUGGCAGCACGCGGUUGCCCCUCACGCUGUGUCUCCAUAUACCGCUAUCUCCCCCGCUCUCUUCACCUCCCACUCUCUCUCUGUAGCUCAUUGUUUCUACUUGUCUCUCUCUCUUAUUCCCUCUCUCUUCACCUCCCUCUCUCUUCACCUCCCUCUCUCUCUCUCUGUACCUCAUUCAUUCUACCUGUCCCUCUCCCUCACUCUAUCUACCUCUCUUUUUCUACCUCUGCCUCUCAAUUCCUCCCUUCCUUGCUCUCGCUCACUCUCUACCUUUAUCUGUCUCUCCUUCACACUCUUUUUCUCACUCACGCUUUCUAAAUCUAUACUCUUUCUUCUCCACCUCUCUUUUUUUUCUCUAGGUCCAUCUCUCUCUCACUGCUAUCUUAUUCCCGGUGCAAUCCGCCGAGAAAGAAAGGCUAAGAGAAAAGCAAGCAGGAGGCACUUUUUACAGAAUAUUCGUGUCUCAGCCCUGACCACAAUGAAACCCUGGCAGCUCGCUGGAUUGGUGGGAAAUGUCCUUCAGACUUGCUUCUCUCACAGAGCAGCUGCUGUACUGCAGAUGACAUGCUGUUUCCCCAGAGAGCCCG